This 497-nucleotide ribosomal RNA is filed under the name uncultured bacterium. Its description in RNAcentral is "partial 16S ribosomal RNA". It matches the Rfam family "Bacterial small subunit ribosomal RNA", at positions 28 to 507 of the family's 1533-position model. The record is from RNAcentral.
GAUGAACGCUGGCGGCGUGCCUAAUACAUGCAAGUCGAGCGAACGGACGAGAAGCUUGCUCCUCUGAUGUUAGCGGCGGACGGGUGAGUAACACGUGGAUAACCUUCUAAUUAGACUUGGAUAACUUCGGGAAACCGUAUUUAAUACUGGAUAAUAUUUUGAACAGCAUGGUUCAAAAGUGAUAGAAGGUUUUGGUGACACUUAUAGAUGGAUCCACGCUGCAUUAGUUAGUUGGUAAGGUAACGGCUAAGCAAGGCAACGUUGCAUAGCUGAGCUGAUAGGGUGAUCGGGGACACUGGAACUGAGACACGGUCCAGGGUCCUACGGGAGGCAGCAGUGGGGAAUUUUCCACAAUGGGCGGAAGCCUGACGGAGCGACGCCACGUGAGUGAUGAAGGUCUGCGGGUCGUAAAACCCUGUUGUUGGGGAAGAAAAUUUGUGUAAGAAACUCUGCACGUCUUGACGGUACCUAAACAGAAAGCCCCGGCUAACUACGUG